This 292-nucleotide ribosomal RNA is filed under the name uncultured Acidobacteriota bacterium. RNAcentral describes it as "uncultured Acidobacteria bacterium partial 16S ribosomal RNA". The record is from RNAcentral. Lineage: Bacteria; Pseudomonadati; Acidobacteriota.
GGACUACCCGGGUAUCUAAUCCUGUUUGCUACCCACGCUUUCGUGUCUCAGCGUCAGUUAUGGUCCAGUAAGCCGUCUACACCACCGGUGUUCCUCCUGAUAUCUACGCAUUUCACCGCUACACCAGGAAUUCCACUUACCCAUCCCACACUCUAGUCAUCCAGUUUUCGGCGCACCCUCCCGGUUAAGCCGGGAGAUUUCACACCAAACUUAGACAACCGCCUACACACCCUUUACGCCCAGUAACUCCGAACAACGCUUGCUGCCUACGUAUUACCGCGGCUGCUGGCAC